This is a long non-coding RNA of Protopterus annectens (West African lungfish), 344 nucleotides long. RefSeq lists it as uncharacterized. Lineage: Eukaryota; Metazoa; Chordata; Ceratodontiformes; Protopteridae. The transcript is spliced from 3 exons. The record is from RefSeq and is a predicted model, not a curated record.
UUUCUUUUUCUAUCUUGCAGGAGAUUCUUGAAGAUGGUAUUUCCACUGAGGCACAGGACAUUGCUCAGUCUGAGAGGUAUCAAACUUUGAAGCUGUUCACAGGGAUCUUUGGAGUUGGAGUAACGACAGCAGAGCGGUGGUACCAGGAGGGACUGAGAACUUUGGAAGACCUACUUGGGCAGAGCCGUUUACUAACAAGAGAACAGCAAGCAGGGCUUCUGUAUUAUGAAGAUUUACAGAACUGUGUGUCCAUAUCUGAAGCUGAUGUGAUUCGCCAAAUUGUAGAAGAAACCAUUCAGGCUAUUUUACCAGAAGCACAUGUAACAUUAACCGGUGGAUUUAGA